UCCCAGGUGGUCUAGUGGUUAAGGACUUGGCGUUGUCACUGCUGUGGCUCAGAUUCAAUUCCUGGCCAGGAAA
RNAcentral lists this transfer RNA (73 nucleotides) under Sus scrofa (pig). It matches the Rfam family "tRNA". Rfam says of the family: Transfer RNA (tRNA) molecules are approximately 80 nucleotides in length. Their secondary structure includes four short double-helical elements and three loops (D, anti-codon, and T loops). The record is from Rfam by way of RNAcentral. Lineage: Eukaryota; Metazoa; Chordata; Mammalia; Artiodactyla; Suidae.